Nycticebus coucang (slow loris) is the source of this 1201-nucleotide long non-coding RNA. RefSeq lists it as uncharacterized. NCBI's taxonomy places the organism in Eukaryota, Metazoa, Chordata, Mammalia, Primates, Lorisidae. The record is from RefSeq and is a predicted model, not a curated record. The transcript is spliced from 3 exons.
CGCUGGCGAGGGGCCUGGGCGGUGUCAGCAGCAGCAGCAGCGCGGUCAGCGCGCAGAGCGAGCCCGAGGGGCCUCGGACGCGGGCGACGCCGCUGUGCAGGACUUGCAUCGCGGCCGGGGAGGAAACUCAAGUUUGGGGCUGAUGUUGAGGGAAAUUCCCUGGUCUCCAGGAUGGGGGUUGGGAGAAAUGCAGUCCCUCCGUGGGGUUGUCCGGACUUGAAAGAACUUGCUCUCCUCCCCGCAGGCAGGUUCUUCCAGGUUCCCUGAAUUACCUUCUGACCCUCUGCACCUCAGCCAACCUUCUGGACCGGGAUGGAAGUGUCUCUACUCCCACUUGAAGUCAGUGACCCCAACAGGCUCCCAAGUCGAGGCUGCUUACUGGAAAUUCUAGACUCCUACUUUUGCAAGUGUGUGAGCUUUAAGCAAUUUAACAAACAAAUCUAAAUCGCCCAGCAAAUUGCCCUGGAAGACGCUCUCUGGCGCCGGGCAGUUCAAUAUCACGUUGAGUUAGAAGAGGUCCUGGUCUUCCGUGGGGGAGGAGGGCCCCAGAGCCCAGCCUGCCCAGUUCUGACUCCUCAGCCAGGGGUGUAUUUGGCAGGAUUUGGAGAAGUUGUGGGAGGCAGAAGAGAUUGAGGGGCUCAUCUGGAAGUCUGGUCUGAGGGUUGAAUCAAUUUGGCAGCAAGACACCUCUGGUUUUCCUUUAAUCUUCGUGUAGCCCCCACAUGCUGCAGGAGCCAUCCAGUUCCAUGACUACUGGAGACCAAGGCUGCUUCCACAGGCCUGCUGUGGUCCCCGCUGACCCAGAACUGCCACCUGGGAUGGAAGGCAAGGUGGCUCCCAGUGUCUGCUCCCUCCCUCCCUUCCCCUGUAACCUGGGAAGUCUCAGCUCCAGGCCCCCCUAUCUAACUCCAGGGCAGGCUGGCUGAGCUCCUGGAAUGGCCCACAGGCUUCCUUCCAUGCAAAUCCAGCUACACCCUGGACUGUCCUCGGGACCCUUGUCCUUGUGGUAAGGGGGCUAAGGUAACCUGCAAACAUGAGGGUGACAACCAAUCAGUGAAGAAAGGGAACACUUCCUCCUGUCCUGUGACAGGGUGAAUUCUAUCAACUCCCUCACCCCUCACCUCCACAGCUGAGCAAGAAAGCGGUGUCUCCAUCUUUAAGGCUGCAUAAUAUUCCAUGGUGUACAUAUACCGCAAUUUAU